This 254-nucleotide ribosomal RNA is filed under the name uncultured bacterium. RNAcentral describes it as "partial 16S ribosomal RNA". It matches the Rfam family "Bacterial small subunit ribosomal RNA", at positions 524 to 776 of the family's 1533-position model. The record is from RNAcentral.
UACAGAGGUGGCAAGCGUUGUUCGGAAUUACUGGGCGUAAAGGGCGCGUAGGCGGCCUUCUAAGUCUUGUGUGAAAUCCCUCGGCUCAACUGAGGAACUGCACGGGAUACUGGAUGGCUUGAGUUCGGGAGAGGGAAGCGGAAUUCCGGGUGUAGCGGUGAAAUGCGUAGAUAUCCGGAGGAACACCGGUGGCGAAGGCGGCUUCCUGGACCGAUUACUGACGCUGAGGCGCGAAAGCUAGGGGAGCAAACGGG